AAAUUUUACCAUAUAUUAUAUAAAUAAACAUCAAAUAAUAUUUAUAUUGUUGUAGGCAUAAUUUACCAAAUAAUUAUGGAGGCUAAAGAGAGAGAGGGGUGAUGCAUAGAUAGAGAGAAAGAGAGAGAUGUGUAAUUGUGGGUGUAUGUUAUUCCACCCCAUUGUGCUUUUAUUUAUAGUAGUAGGAAAUGUUAAUUCCUUACCCUUUAGGAUUACAACAUUUAAUAAGUAAUCUACUCCUAAUAGGAAUAUAAGAUACAUUCCCAUAUCUACUAAGAUUUACACAAUCGCAUUCCUAUUCUAAUAAGACUGCAACACUCCCCCUUGAGUGUAUAAAUACUCAAGUAAAUGGCGCAUCAAGUAUUCAAUGAUGAAGUAAGUACAGUUGAUGAAGUUGUCAACACAAUGAGCGAAUGCGAGUCUCAUAUUAACGGAAAAAUGCAUAAAAAAAUAAAACUCACAAAAACUCGCUAUGGUAAAACCCAAGGUGGGGAAAAACCUAUAGUCUAAGGAGAAACGUGAGAAGUUGCAUUAAGUCAAAACUAUACGUCUUUUGGACGCAAGUAGAAGGGCUCACAAUGGUAUGAUCAGCCCAUGAUGGCUGCCUCGUUAAAACCUAGUUAGGUAGCAAAACCCCAGUGGAAAAAAUGCUCCUAAUCGUAGGGAAAAAGAGUACAUUGAGAUCAAGUGAGUAUACUUCUGGAUACUUACCCUGAGUUUGACAUAACUUCUAAAUGAGAACUACAAGCAUUGCAUAUAAAUAGUUAGGCAUACCAAUUCCUCAGACAAGCUUCUGGAAGGUUGACUUCAGAAGUGACAUCGUGUAGAGGUUGGCAAGGUUGUCUGGGAUCGGCUUGCAUGACUUUAAUCUCCUAAUGCCUUGCUGGUGUAGAUGUAGACACAAUAUGUCUUGGUGUUGACUUUGUUGAUGUAUCAUGGCUUGGUCGGGUUGAUACAUGCGGCAUAAUCUUCAUGGAUCGUUGUUGGGACUCAACGAUGGAUGAAAACACAACAAGUAAUUCGAAUAUGCUCAACAAGAACUCCUAACCAUGUCUCAUUUGUGGCAUAGUGAAGUAAGGUGAGUCUUUGAACGAUUCGAAGAUUUCGCAACUAAGGUUAUAUCAUGGAUCUCCAAGAUAUUGCGAUAUCCCUAACGGUAAAGACAUAACCAUUUUGGGAUUUUGCCUUGUGUGGGUUUGACAAGUAACCUACGUCAGCAUAACAAACAAGGCAAGCAUCAUUUCGAGGAUCAGGGAGGUUGGAUCCCUUGAGAUGCAUUGGGAUUUACCCUCGUAGUACCUUCAUGGUACAUCUUUAAUACCAAUUCAGUGGUUGCGUGUAGGCACGAUGUUGCAUCUUUACCAAGAUCAACAUCGAAUGAGAUGUCUUGUCUAAAUACAAUGAGCUAAGUACAACGAAGCGCAAAGUUAAACUUUAGAUAUGGAAUUUCGGAUUCCAUAACCUCUUCAAGGGUUUCAUUUGUAUAUAACAUAUGGACGAUCAUGGGUAUACUCAAAGGUGACUCAUUCAGGGUGUAGUUCAACUGGUAGACCAAAAUACUAUUAGAACAAUGCUUCAACUUCAGGUCAAGGCAUAAACGAGUUUUCCCAAGAUAUUUCAUCUUAAAUUCCAUCUUCAGAUGCGAGGCAGUUUUCUCAAGAUCUUCCGGAGUCUUAGUGAGGUUCAUGUCAACGACAUAAACUGUAACUCUAGCAAUUUGGAAUAAAACUUCAUAGUUUAACACGCAAGGGCAUAAUUCAUAUCCCUGACUGAUCAAAUAAUCACUUAGACGGGUAUACCACAUCCGUCGAAUUGUAAGUGAACGCCUCAACAAGUUAAGAGGGUGUUUCGUGGUUUUGGAACUAUUUGAAACAGUCCAUGUAAUUAUUCGAGAACUUACAUGUAAAUCUCCAUAUCUAUAUCCCCAUGGAGAAACAGUAACCACAUUUCAUAAUGCUAUUAUCAAUCACAUGACGUUUUGAGAGAAACCUUGCGCCAUAAGACGUGCAUCAUAUUGCAAUUCAUUCAUCUCAUAAGGCUUCCCUUCCCACUUCGAACACAACAGGGUUACCUUGGGUAAUGUAGGAACGACAGGUCCAAUACACACUUUGGUAAGGAAUUUGACCUGGAUUGUAAUUUCGGUUGUCUAAUCAGUUUUACAUUGUCACUUAGUUAACGGAACACGAUUCGAUAUCGUCGCUUUUCAUUUAUGUCGGUAGCUACCAUAUAAGUGAAAACAUCAUCGAUGGUAAUCUCAUUUCAAUUCCAUUUAGCUCAUCCAAACUAGUAUACUGGACCACGAACUUUAAGUCUCAGGAGAAAUCCGAAUUAAUCUCAUGAGAUGGAAAUGAUUUGAGACAUCGAUCGUGUUUACAUAGGUUCAAGCUCUCCAUGGUAUCCACACAUAUGUUGUUGAUGAAAUUUCCAACCCCUUAUGGCAAGGGUUACAUCAGAGGAGAUCAACUUAGUGCAUGAUCAUGUUACAACACUUUGGUCAAGCAACAACACAUGUAUGUGCCCAAGGAAACCCUUUCUAUACAUAACCAAGUCAUAAAGACCAUCCCAGACGAAGCCAACUUGGAUCUUCACGGCAGCAAUAGUCAACUUGACAAUCCUCGAGAUGACUCUUUCACCCAGCAAGCACAACCCACUGAAGAGUUAGAAAAGGUCUUUAUCGCAAAAGAUUAUUCGGAUCACAUGGUAAAGAUUGACACCACUUUGUCACCACCAAUUCAGUUGGCAUUGAUAUCUUUUUUGCAAGAGAACGUUGACGUCUUCGCCUGGUCAUACGAGGACAUGCCAGGCAUCUCUCCCGAUAUCAUCUGUCAUCGUUUAAGUAUCGACCCCAAGACCAAGCCAAUGAGACAGAAGCGAAGAUUUUAUGAUGCUGAACGGUACGAGGUAAUGAAGGCAAAAGUUGAAAAACUCAAAGGUAUAGGCUUCGUCCGCGAAGUCAAUUAUCCAACGUGGGUAGCAAAUGUUGUCUUUGUUAAGAAGAAUCCGACCAAGGAAAGUCUCAUGCUCCAAAAUGUCUUGUGGAUAAUGUGUGUCGAUUACACCGACCUAAACAAAUGAUGCCCGAAUGAUAGCUUUCCUCUUCCUCUCAUAGACAGACUUAUAGACUCUACGACAGGGUGUGAACUCCUGAACUUCAUGGAUGCUUACUCAAGAUACAACCAAAUCCUCAUGAACCUUCUGAACCAAGAACACACAACCUUCACUACUGAUAGAGGAUUAUAUUGCUAUAAAGUCAUGCCAUUCGGCCUAAAGAAUGCAGGAGUGACUUAUCAGAGACUAGUCAAUUCAAUGUUCACUGAACAAAUUGGGAAGAGCAUGGAAGUUUACGUUGAUGAUAUGCUAGUUAAGAGCAAACACGCUGACCAACACAUCACUAACCUAUCUGAAACUUUCAUCAUUUUGAAGAGGUAUUGAAUGAGGUUGAACCCCAACAAAUGUGCCUUCGGCGUAAGCUCUGGCAAAUUCUUAGGCUUCAUGAUAAGCCAACGAGGCAUUGAGGCUAAUCCUGAGAAGAUCAAAACAAUCAUUGACAUGAAGGAACCGGUAACUUCAAAAGACAUUUAGAGCCUUACUGGCAAGUUGGCAGCCUUAACUAGGUUCAUCUUUAAGGCCACAGACAAAUGUGCUCCUUUUUUCAAAGCACUUAAGGGAAGUAAGAAGUACAUUACAUGGACUGAUGAAUGUGCCGAGGCAUUCAAGAACUUUAAGGACUACAUGAGUAAAGCCCCUUUGCUCUCCAAACCUGAGGUUGGUGACACUCUCAUCAUCUAUCUAUAGGUAUCGGCUUUAGCGGCAAGUUUCGUUCUCAUUCGAAAUGAUGGUAAUGUCGAACGACUUGUCUACUACACUAGUAAGGCCUUACAAGAUGCAGAGACAUGAUACUCCAACAUUGAGAAAUUGACUUUAGCAUUGGUCAUGUCUGCUCGAAAACUUCGCCCUAACUUCCAAGCAUACUCUAUCAUCGUGCUUACCAAUCAUCCUCUUCGAUAGAUACUCUAAAGUCUUGACAGUUUAGGGUGAAUGAUCAAAUGAGCGACAUCAUUGGGUGAGUUUGACAUCUCUUACCAACCAAAGCCAGCUGAGAAGGGCCAAGCAGUGGCAGACUUCAUCGCCGACUUCACUAUCUUGUUGACAUUGUUUGUACGCCUAAAGAAUUGGUUUCAUUACCCUCGGAAGCUCAGAAAAUAGAACUAACAGCCCCAACAUGGAGUCUAUAUGUCGAUGGCUCAUCCAACCAACAGGGUUGUAGAGCAGGACUAGUCCUUACGACCCCUGACAAAGUGGCGAUGGAGUAUGCUCUUCAUUUCAAAUUCAAUGCGUCAAACAAUGAGACCGAAUAUGAAACCCUCAUAGCAGGCUUAUGUUUGGCCAAACACCUUGGGGUUAAAUGAAUUGAUAUCUUCAGCGACUCCCAAUUGGUGGUUAACUAGGUCACCACAACUUUGACGCUAAGGAUAGCUCCAUGGCAGCAUAUAUGGCACAAACACAAUUGUUGCUCAAGCACUUCCACUACCAGAUCACCCACUAGAGAGGCAAACAGUCAUGCAGAUGCUUUGGCUCGCCUCACCUCGCCUCAGUGGUGGAAGACAAGAUUGGGAGAAAAAUUCAGGUCGAAUUGUUGGUAGCACCAAGCACCAUGGCUGCGGAAGUGUGCAAUUUACAACAGGGGGAUAGUUGGAUUACCCCGAUUUAUAGAUUCCUUGCUCAUGGCACCCUUCCAAACGACAAAGUCCAAACUAAAAAGAUUUGAUACAAGUCUACCUAUUACUUAAUCAUUAACGACCAACUCUACAAGCGGGGUUUUAACCUACCAUACCUAAGAUGCCUUACGCCUGCGGAGGCAGAAAUUGGCCUUCGGGAAAUACAUGAAUGACUUUGCAGAUAUCAUACUGGAUCUUGAUCCCUAGCACACAAGGCUUUUCGCCAAGGAUAUUACUGGCCAACACUCCGCCAAGAUGCCAUCAGAAUAUCCUGCUCAUGUGAUAAGUGUCAACGUUACGUAACUAUUCUUCACUCCCCUCCCAAGCCGCUCACUCCUAUGAUCAGCCCUUGGCCCUUCGCCCAAUGGGGACUUGAUUUGAUUGGCCCAAUGCCUGCAGAGAAGGGCAAAGUCCAUUAUGCAAUCAUUGCAGUUAACUACUUCAUAAAGUGGGCCGAAGUAUAACCCUUGGCAACCAUUACUAAGGUAAAAAUAGAAGACUUCGUAUGGAAGAACAUCAUUUGCAGAUUCGGUAUUCCCAAUGCGAUAGUCAUUGAAAACGAGUGACAGUUCAACAACAAUAAGUUCAGGAUGUUCUGCUCUAAGUUCAACAUCAACUUAUGUUUUGACUCCCCAACUCAUCCCCAAUCUAAUGGACAAGUUGAAGCAAUCAACAAAAUAAUCAAGCGAACUUUGAAAACCAGCUUGGACAAGGCUAAAGGUUGUUUGCCAGAAUUUGUACCCCAAGUUCUUUGGUCAUACCGCACUUCGUAUUAGACGUCAACAGAAGAAACCCUAUUCUCACUUGCCUUUGGUACAACAGCAGUUGUCUUAGUUGAGCUUGAGUAAGCAACAUUCCGAGUCCAGAACUACGUGCAAAGGGAAAAUAACAAACAACUUACCCUCAACUUAGAUCUAGUCGAGGAACACAGAAACCAGGCUUACUUGAGGAAUGUCGCCUACAAGCAGCGCAUCUCCAACUACUAUGACUCAAGGGUCAAACCUCGUUUUUUCAAAGUGGGGGACUGGGUAUUGAAGAAAAGAUUACUCUGCGACAGAGUCCCGAGUGAAGGAACACUUAGUCCAAACUGGGAUGGACCGUUUAAAGUUGUUGGCAUCAGUCGCCCUGGCUCCUACAAGCUUAGAAGCUCCAAUGGCAAGACCUUUGGCCAUCCAUGAAACACUGAUUGAAGUACUAUUACAAGUAAACUCACAUUGUAUAAGUGCUAAGCUUUAGCCGUUCAACAUCCUAUGUAACGAAGACCAUUUUGCAUGAAUUCAAUAAAGAGAUGAUUUAGACAACUCGGUCCUAAUCCUCUUACAUUCCUAGCAAUGAAACACUCAGGUUCAAAGCUUCAACAUGAAUGCUCUCAACAGGAAAUAAAGUUUAAGUAUAUGUUAACAAGACUAUACAAAUAAACGAACAGCUCCACAAUAUAUUCGUUCAAUCUGACCCAAGUUAUGGCUUAUAUCCAAACAGAGGAUUUGCUCAAACAUGGCCAGACAUUCAUCAAUGAUAGUGCGAAUACUUGGUAAUUAACAUCAAACUAUACGGUGCAAAGUCGUAAGCAUCCAUAAAUAAAAAGCUCUCAGGCUUACAACAUGGCACAUUCCAUACAAAUAACAAAUUAGUACAUCCAGAGUAAAUGGCGCGUGCCACACAAACAACAAACUAGUACAUCUAUAGUACAUGGCACAUGCCACAUAAACAACAAACUAGUGUAUCCAGAGUACAUGGAACAUGCCACACAAACAACAAACUCGUACAUCUAGAGUACAUGCAGAAAAAGAGGGCAUUACGAUUCAUCCUCAUCUGAGGCUGAACCCUUGACAAUAUCACUCUGCGUUUCAACCUCAUCGCCAUCACCAUAUUCCUCAGCAUCUUUAGGACCAUCAUCACUCUCCUAAGACUGCUCACUGAUACUAGCCUCAUUAUCAGAGUCAUCAUCACUACUAGGAUCAAUUGCGAGGACGAAGGCUUCACCUUUUUGUCAGUACUCAUCCAUCUCAUCACGGUACUUUCGGAUAAUGCUUCCAUUGCCGUAACGCUUAAGGACAGCAAUUCAUUUCCUUUUCUUAAAAUUAGCCGCCCGGAUACAGUGAGGUCUAAAAGCAUCGUGAAAGGCUUAGGAACCUAAGAAUUCCUGCACAGCAGCAUCCCUCUCAGUUGGGAUACUCAUCUUCAGCCUAGAAACCUCAACCAAGGCACUAUCCAACUCUCAUUUAACUGUGGAAACCUCAAGGAUGGUUGUCUCCAACUGUUCCUUAGUCACUUCCAAUUAUUUCUCGAGCCUUACGUUCUUACCAUUCCGUCUCUUCAAACUCUCAAAGUUUUGAUCCUUAAGGCGUAUGGCAUCAGCCAAAGUUUUGCUCGUUUUUCUGGCGUCAUUCACAAGCUGCUUAUUCUUUUUAAACUUUGCUUUGUACCGCUCGACCUCUCGUAAUCUGUCACCAUACUCGGUCAUGACCUACAUGACAAGAUGAUCGUCACUACCAGGAAAAAGAGGGGAGAAAGCAAAGAAAUGACAGAGUAACACUUACAUAAGAAGAUAACUUCAUCAUCCAGUCACGAUCUGAUUCAUUCUCAUUUAGUGGCUCACUAAGCUCAUCAACAGUGGAUCGACGUCCUGCCAGGCAAUUAUUGACAUACCUAAAACUACUUGGCUGCAUGGUAACCUUCAAGUUCUUCCAAUGAAUGCUGCCAACCUCUUCCUUGUACUUUCUCUUACGGCUAGAGCUAGGGCCACCUUCUUGGUCAGUAGACUCCAUGGUUGGAGGAAAUAUGGGAUUGAUGGUAGGAAAAGAAGGCAACAGUCGUAUCUCCUCCUCUGCAACUAUGGCAACAGCACACCCGAUGGCCUUAACUUCAGCCUUCUUUGAGGCAGCAAUCUUGAGGACCUCUUCUUGCGACUUAGGUUUAGGGGUUGGCCUCACCCGGUGCUUACGAGCUCCCUUGUGAAACAAAAUGUCGUCUACGGGAACUAACAUGGGUGUUUUCCCUUUCUUGGCGCUAGUCUCCCAUUUUUUGCCCAGUUUCUCCACUAAACAAGAAAAAUCAAAGUAAGGAAUGCAACUUUGUAAAAGAAAGAGGGGGCGAAAUGAAAGACAUAACUUACUUGCUCGUCUUUGGCACUUCGACACUAGGGGCUAGAAACCGUACUUUCAAAAUAAGGGUCAUAGCUUGCCCAAAUGUCUAUCCUCUUUGGGCACCUUCAACACAUUCUCUACGUCAGCUAGCUCCCGUCUAGACAGCUUGAUGGUCCCUCGCGUCACUGCACGAAGAAAAAUGUUAGAAGCAAGAGAAAAUCACAACAAAUAGUAAAUAAUGCAAACAAUGGAUACAUUACAACGUACAGUCUAGAAGUGAGUAGGAACACAUCGCUCAUGUGUGACACCUUUAGCAUACUCCCAAUCAUUAUAAAGAAAGCACCAACGGUUUUUUCAACUGCAGUACGCCUUUUUCUUACCAAAGACAAUACGCUCUCUCUUACUCCAACAUGCACGUUUGGCAUACCCAGUGCAUGCUUUCACUGGGAGCAUCUUAUAGCAGUAACGCCACUAAUGAAAAGAAGGCUCACCUAACCCAUAUUCCAUCCAAAUAAUAUAAAACCCGAUCAAGGUAUCCCAAAAACUAGGGUAGAGUUGCCUAGACGCAUAUCCAAUGAAAGACAUCAUCCGUUGUGCAAAGGCAGUUUCACCCCUAAAGUCAACAAUAUCUGGGUAUAGAACAUAACAUGACCCUUGGGCGGUUUAGAAGACAAUUCUUCAUGAUGCACCAAACGCAUUCCUACACUACGGAGGAUACUACAUGACUGCCUUAGGGCCUCAAGUUGCUUUUCAUUAUCUAACAAGUUUUGUACUAAAUGGUUUGCUAUGAACUCAGAGAGAAAUAUGGGUAUGGCGUCACAAACAACCCCUUCACCCACUGACAUGAAAGAGGAAGAACCAAUAUUGGCUAAGACUUGACAAUUGCGAAGAUCACCUAAUCUCAAAUUUUUUUAUACAAGUCUCUAACAAAGGCCCUGAAGACUCCAACAUUGCAAGCUCAAACCUAGAGUUAGAGUUAGGGGAGCCCUCAUCACUAGGACUUCCAGACUUUGACAUCUACAACAAACAGAAACAAACUCUAUCACCACAUGAAAGAUCGAAACAUAAGGAAUUUCCUAGGGCAUGGAUAAAAGCUUAAUCAGUUCAUUAUGUUCUCAACCAAAUACAAGAACACUCAAACAAUUUAACAAGAAUGAAAGCAUGCAAUCUAGUGGAGAAGACUACCAACCUGAAGAUGGUGCAAAGCAAUGCUGGAAUCCCUCUCAACUAUAAGAGCAAUAUGUCUCCAAAAAUCACUACAAAAUGAGCAAAUAAAGACAAUGAAAAGAGUGGAAACUUAUCAUUCUUAUAGGGUUUAACAUGGCCAAAGAAAUUCAAAAUUCAAAAUUCAAAAUUCAAAAUUCAAACCAUGAGAAAACCCCACAUGGAAAGUCUUCAAACUUCCACAUAAGCUAGGGACUUUUCAAAUUUCAAACUUACAACACCUCCUCUCCCCCCCAAAAAAAAAUUCGGAAAAAAAAAGAGGGGGGAUGAGGUGAACACAUUAGCUUCAUCAAAGGAGUUCAACCAUAAUUCUCAAAAGCUUCACACACUCUUGAUCAAGACACUGUGAAGCAAAACCAAUUUAUGGUGCCAACAAGCGCUUCAUCAAUGGAGAGCAACUACAAUUCUCAAGAGCUUCAUCAAUGAAGGGCAACCACAAUUCUCAAAAGCUUCACACACUCUUGAUCAAAACAGUGUGAAGCAAAACCAAUUUAUGGUGCCAACAAGAGCUUCAUCAAUGGAGGGCAACCACAAUUCUCAAAAGUUUCACACACUCUUGAUCAAGACAGUGUAAAGCAAAACUAAUUUAUAGUGCGACCAAGAGCUUCAUCAAAGAAGUUCAACCACAAUUCUCACAAGCUUCACACACUCUUGAUCAAGACAAUGUGAAGCAAAAACCAAUUUAUGGUGCCAACAAGAGCUUCAUCAAUGGAGGGUAACCACAAUUCUCAAAAGCUUCACACUCUCUUGAUCAAGACAGUGUGAAGCAAAACUAAUUUAUGGUGCCAACAAAAGGUUCAUCAAUAGAGGGCAACUGCAAUUCUCAAAAGCUUCACACACUCUUGAUCAAGACAGUGUGAAGCAAAACCAAUUCAUGGUGCCAAUAAAAGCUUCAUCAAUGGAGGGCAACUACAGUUCUUAAAAGCUUCACACACUCUUGAUCAAGACAGUGUGAAGCAAAACUAAUUUAUGGUGCCAACAAAAGCCUCAUAAAAGGAGUUCAACCACAAUUCUCAAAAUCUUCACACACUUUUGAUCAAGAUAGUGUGAAGCAAAACCAAUUUAUGGUACCAACAAAAGCUUCAUCAAUGGAAGGCAACUACAAUUCACAAAAGUUUCACACAUUCUUGAUCAAGAUAGUGUGAAGCAAAAUCAAUUCAUGGUACCCAACAAAGCUUCAACCUCAAAGCUUCAUCUACAAAGCUUCAAAACAAAAGCUUCACCUACAAAGCUUCAAUUUUAAAGCUUCCACAAAAGCUUCACCCUCAAAGCUUAACUUCAUCUACAAAGCUUCAACACAAAAGCUUCACCUACAAAGCUUCAACACAAAAGCUUCACCUAUAAAGCUUCAACACAAAAGCAUCAGCUACAAAGCUUCAACUCCAAAGCUUCCACAAAAUCUUCACCCACAAAAGCUUCACCCUCAAAGCUUAGCUUUACCUACAAAGCUUCAACACAAAAGCUUCACCUACAAAGCUUCAACUCCAAAGCUUCCACAAAAGCUUCACCCACAAAAACUUCACACACUCUUGAUCAGGAUAGUGUGAAGCAAAAUCAAUUCAUGAUACCCAACAAAGCUUCAACCUCAAAGCUUCAACACCAAAGCUUCACCUACAAAGCUUAAAUAUAUAUAUAUAUAUUUUUUGGGAAAUUCGAAAAUUCGAAAGAAAAAAAAAAUUGCCUAGGCUUCCUCUUCUUUGGGCCUAACAACUUUCAUAACAAAUAUAUAUGAAGGAUGAGUUUUGGGCUACCACUUAGAAAGGAAAAGGGUGAAGUUUUGUUACUUUGGAAACUUGGCUACUAGCAAGACACCUCAUUCGUCAACUCCCUUGACCGGAGACUUGGGGGACUCCUACCAUAUGAUACUGCACCUUGAUACUCGGAAGUCUCACGAUCACUCAGUGACUUGGAUUUUUCAAGUCUCCAACCGAGAAAUUUUCCUCACUCGGGAAAUUAAGGGAGCACUACCUCAACAUACACGCUUCACUCAUAAAGCUUCAACAUACAAGUUUCAACAAAAGAAAAAAUUCAAAGAACUUAGUGAAGAAGGCUUUGGUCUAUUUAACACAAUACGUUGAAAUGAAACAAAGCUUAUUUAUUGAUAUCUCCGAUAAGUUACAAAUAUGUACAUAUACAUGAAUCAAAAUAAACAAACAAGAGGGAGCCUUCACAAAGGUUGCUCAGGAAAAGUCUCAGCAAUCGACAGAGCCCCAAAAAGAGAAGGCACCAGAGGUGAUCAUUCGGAGCCUUAGUACUGGGCAGAACCCCAGAAGGAGGAGGCACCGAAAGUUGAUCAUUUGGAGCUUCAUUACGCGGUACAGCCCCAAAAGACAAAGGCAAUAAAUGCCUCUGGAAUAAACCCAUAAACCUCUGAUGAUCAAGUAAAAUCUGACCAUCAAAUUCCUGCAGCUGUUAAGCUUCCUCUUCAUGUUUGUAGCAUAGUCAUGUGCGAGCCUGUGCAACUAUUUAUUCUCAUGCUUGAGCCCUCUAAUCUCCUGUUUGAGACUUAUCACUUCAGCUGCCAAUGAUUCAACUUGGCGGGUUCGAGAAAAUAGGCGUUAGGCCAUAUUAGACACAGAACCUGCACACUGAACACUGACAGCCAGAGAAUCCUUAACAACCAACUCAUCAGACCGUUUGGAAAUUAGUCUGUUAUAUUUAAAAGUGAGAAGGUUCCUGACAACCACUGCAACAGUUAUAUCAUUCUUCAUCACAAAGUCCCCAACGGUAAGAGGACUAGUAAAGGAUAAAAAGGAUGGGCGCCAUAUAUUGUCUUGAGGAGAUAUGGCUGCCUCUUCACCAAAGUUCAAGUGAAAACGACGAUCGGAUGGGUCAGACAUUUUCAGAAAUGAUGAAGGAAAAAUGAGGUCCAAUAAAUCUUUAAAGUACAAAAAUAAGGGGAAAUUUCCUAUAAGCAAUAACUCUCUGAACGUACUUCUUGCACACAAUUGGUGCCCCUAUAAAAGAAAGGGUAGCAAAGCCGUUUGUUCAAAAAUCAAAGAGGUACCACUCUCCGGAUUUCGAGAAGCUGAUUUUCCUAAGUGAAAUUUGUCGACAAUCUCCACACGCAACAUCAGCUCCUCGGGUAUCACAGAUAACUUCGCCAAAGAUCUCUGACAAAGUUUAGACACAUAAAUUUUGAAGGUCCAGCUACCCUACCAUUACCCACAAGGGUAAAGGAAUAUCAACAUUGCUUGAUAACUGGAAAGUCCUUAUAUGUGUCAACCUCUGUGCUCCGUGACAAGGCAGACUGGUAAAAAUGCCCAACAUUUACUCACAUCGAGAAAACACUCCCAAUAGGAUUGCUUUCUCAAAAAUCGAAGAGGUAUCGCUCUCCAAAUCUUGACAGCCAGACUCCCACCAGGAUUGCUUUCUCAAAAAUCGAAGAGGCACCGCUAUUCGAAUCUCGAAAGCCAAACUCCCACCAGGAUUGCUUUCUCAAAAAUCGAAGAGGCACCGCUCUCCGAUUCUCGAGAGCUAGACUCCUACCAGGAUUGCUUUCUCAAAAAUCGAAAAGGCAUCGCUAUCCAAAUCUUGAAAGUCAGACUCAUAACAGGAUUGUUUUCUCAAAAAUCGAAAAGGCACCGUUCUCUAAAUCUCGAAAGCCAUAUCCCCAAUAAGAUUGAUUGUUCAAAAAUCGAAGAGGCAACAUUCCCCGAAUCUCGAGAGCCAGAUCCCCAACAUGAUUGCUUGUUCGAAAACCGAAAAGGCACCACUUUCUGAACUUCAAGAGCCAGAUUUCCUUGGAUAAAAUUUAUUUGCAAUCAUCACACACAACAUCAGUUUUCCAGUUACCAUAGACCACUUUUUCAAAGUGCUCUGACAAAGUUAAAACGCGUGAAUCUUGCAGCUCCCACUACAUUGCUAUGACCGAGAAGGGUAAAGGAACAACGUUACUACUCCCUGUUGGGACAAUUCCUAUAUAUGUUGACCUCCAUCAUCCACAGCCAGGCAGACUUGUAAAUAAAUAACAAUGCUCAACUUUUCUUCACAUCCGAGAGGGCAUUUUCAGCAGAGUCUCUCGAAAUACUCAGCUUCUUUUUCCCCUGAUAAUACAUUUGCAAACAAGCCACACUAGAGCAAGAGUAUCUCAUAUCAUCAGGGUUAAAAGCAAGAGUAUCCCAUAUCAUGCUUUUUCCCUGUCUUUUCCUUUGCCCUUGCUUUUACCUGCAAGGCAAGGAGAAAGAAAACAAUCAGUAGGAACCUGAAAUCAAACUUCCGAUUUGGAACUGAUUACCCGGAACCUUUUCCUGGCUGCUCACCUAGCAUUGCUCUCGAGUACUCAUCUUCAACUGUUGUCAAGGUCGUGAAUUCUUUCAGUAAAUACCUUAGAACAGUUGAUACAAUAUUGGCUCUUUACACUGAAGCUGCCAAGCAUGGACGAGUCACUGAGAAGUAGUACUCUAAAGGACCAUUCAAAUGCAAAGAUUGUGCACCACUUCUGCGAUGCAAAAGAUUAAAGCAGAAGCUUCAACGAUGAGUUGGAACAGAUCACUAUUGCACGACGCCCCCUACAAAACCGCAUAAUUUAGACAGAUGAGUCUAAGUCAUAUCCAAGCUCGACAUCGUUGCCCUAUCCGAAUAGCUCGAGAAGCUUCAACAACGUUUUGCUAACACCGUCACCAAAGAGCAAAGCCUCGCCAUGCCACAUCCACUACUUUAUCAACAGCAAAGGUAUCCCAUAUCAUCAGGGUCGAACGUACUUUAGAUUUGAUGAACUUGUUUUGACCCUCAAAUUCUUGAGUUGGCCUUAUAUGCUGGAGGAAACCAGAAAACCCUCCAGCCCAGUUCAAGAAUAAGCCUGUGGAAAGUUACUUCUUCAAAAGCAAAAGUAUCUCAUAUUAUCUCUUCUCAUUUUUCUUCUUUUUAUCCUUCCUGCUGCCUGCAAGAUAAGGAGAAUGAGAACAAUCAGCCGGAACUCGAAAUCAAACUUCUGAUCUGGGACUGAUUGCUUGGAGCUCUGAUUGCUUACUUUGUCUAUCACCUCUUUCGGUAGAUCUCCUACCUCAACGACUUGGAGGACUCCUACUACAUGGUUUGUAUCGCGCUUGACCAAGCCUGAAACUACAAGUAAGCUUCAAAUGAAAUUGAUACAUUACCUUGUGCAUCUCCACCAGUUAAAGAUACCACCCAUGUAUGAAGGAAGAGUACUUCCAAAGAAGAUGCCACAUCUACCUAUGAGACAGAUAAGGUAAGUGAAAACGAUACCAUACUUCGGUACUUAGAAGUUUUAUGAUUACUCAGUGGCUUGGAUCUUGCAAGUCCCCAAUCGAGGAACUUCCCUCACUCAAGAACUUAGGGAAACACUGUUUGUACCAUACUUGACCAAUCCCGAAACUACCGAGCAUCGGUCAACGUUAUACCGUCAAUGACCAAGAAGAGUUUCCCUCCAACCAGGAAGCCAAUCAUAGCGCGACACGUGUCGACAUCAGAAGCCAAUCAUAGCGCAACACGUGUCAACAUCAGAAGCCAAUCACAACACGACAUGUGUCAAUGUCAGAACAAAGCUAGAAACUCUCUUCUAUAAAAGGAGAUCAUUCUCCCAUAAUAUUUCCUAAUGUCAUUUGUACUAAAUCAUUCACUAGUACUCACUAAAGGAGAGCUUGAACCUAUGUACUUGUGUAAACCCUUCACAAUUAAUGAGAACUCAUUUACUCCAUGAACGUAGCCAAUCUGGGUGAACCAUGUACAUAUUAUGUUUGCUUCCCUAUCUCUAUCCAUUUACAUUCUUAUCCACACUAGUGACCGGAGCAAUCUAGCAAAGGUCACAAACUUAAUACUUUAUGUUGUACCAAAGUCCUCACUGAUUUUGUGCAUCAACAAGAUUCAUUGUUUUGCCGUAUCUUCCUCUUCUAGGGAAGUGAAUCCUACGAACCGAAUAAUCUGUCGUGCUCUAGGCCAAGACAGAUUGAUUGGCUAUCUGUCGGUGUACCCGACCAUACAACAGGGGCGGCACACCUUCUAGGGAUGUUGACUCGACCGUUAAGUACAUUUAUCCUUGCAGGAAUGUUUGCAGCUGGUAUAUGAUCUCGUCACUUUAGCUAGAUCAGAGGAAUGCAUCUUGAGCAACAUUCUGAAAUCUAGAAUUCAUCGCACUUGCUUAUCACAUUUGUGCGGUAUGGGGAUCGAGAUGAGAUAUAGUGGGUAACGUCCACACAAAUUUGUGUCGUUUUACAGGAACGUUGGCAAAGUGUGCGUGUAAGCACAAGGUCCUUACUUCGCGCAAGGAGAUGCGUUGUAGCAUCAUUGUUCGACCUAAGUGUCCCAAAAGGUCAUGCCAAAGAAAGUAAACUGCUCAAUCACCCAGUUCCAGGCUGGCCACAUAUGGCGUGUGCCCCAGUUGGGGGACAGCCAAUUUGCCCCAAAUUAAAGCUUCAGACUCAUUUUUGGAAGUGGUGCAAAGAUAUUUCACUCUAUUUUCUUCAAUGGUUUCAUUUAUGAUCAUUGUCAUCUCGAAUAUCCUUAAAAACUCAACGUUAGGGAGAAUUUAAGGUCCCUUAAAUGGUAAUUCAGUACCAUUCAUACAACGAGGAGUGUGCCAAUACUCUUAAUCAGGUUGGAUGGACUUGAAAUCGUUGUUAGAGAUGUGAUUUAGGUGUAAAGUUAAUGUGCGUAGUAUGCAUUCAUCCAUAUAACUAACUUUCCCACAUUCCUACCUAAUCACGUGGUUAAUUGAAUUGGGUCACAUGUAUUAAGAAACAUAAUUCAAUUAACUCAUAUUCGAGGACAAUAUCAAUAAGAUUAUCCAUAAGUAAAACAUACACCAAACUUGAAUCCAAUAACAUAGAAAAAUGUUCACAAAGUAAAUGGUUUACUAAGGGGAUUCGACCAACAAGGCUAUCCAUGUCAAAAUUCUGCUCUUCCAAUGGUGUUUGGUGGAGCAAAAUUAGUCUCACAUAUUGACUACUAGAAUGGUACUUCCUUAACAACAUUGGUAGGGGCACGAACAGGUGCAUAGCCAAUGAUCUAUUCCAUCGAGACGAAAAUAGAUUCUACAGGGUUAAGGUUCGGGAAUGUUUUCCCUUAUUCUUGAAGUUUUAGGUCUUAAGUACCAAGGAUCACGCUUCGGGUAUGAUGACACACCUUGCCAGACCCUGAUUUUACCAUAUGUUGUAAAAACAAACUCAAAAUUGGAUUGUGAGAGAAUAUGUCAUUUGGUGUAUCCAUGCCGAAGCAGUGCAUCACCAUUUGGUAGGCUUUGACCGAACUGGGUCUAGCUAUUCAGUAGACUCCAGUUGAACUGGGUCCAUACCUUUCUCUCAUGUUUCCAUUAUCUACACUACUACUUCAGAAGCGAGUUAAAAGCAUGGAAUGACGAGAAAAGUAUUCUCCAGUCAAAAUUCGAUCGGAUUUAUAAACUUCAGAAUUGUACUCAUUCAUGGACGUAAUCAUGAUGUGCUUCAGGCAAUGUCUUUCAUGAUUAGACAGUUCAUAGGGGUGAGCCAAAGAGCCAUGGAAUCCUCGAUCGAGAGGUAUUUCCAUUUGUAAUGCUUUGAGCAUAAGUCUUCAAAUGAAUAUCAUGACGGAAGCUUAUUCAGCUCUUCCAUGUCGUUGUUGGCUUCAAUGGUUUCUCAGCUUCUUGAUAGUCAAGUGGAGAUUCACGUCUUUUACCUCACAUCAAGUCGUUUCUAUUAGAAACAUCCAAAUCAGGAAAAUCGAAAUUGUGACGGUUCGACAAUCCACUGAAUUGGAAAGAACAAUAUUGUGAUUGGUGUUAUGGGAAUGAAAAAUGUUAGAACAUUCGAGUUCUAAGACAUGGUUUUCAUGAAAAAUGUCGGGUUUUCAUGGGUGUAUUGUUUUAUGAAAACUUCAAGUUUCAAAUGCACUAAAUUUGAAACUACAGGUUCAAUUUAGUUUAUGAAUGUUUAGUUCAUAAAACAGAGGUUCCUACAAGAAUACAGAAUGCAAUAUACAACUAAGUGUAGUGGAUUUGAGGUUCUUCGGGAACUCAAGUGUGAGUGCUUCGGGACUAUGAAAGUGAGUCAACGGUUCAAAGAAGAGAAAUAAAAUAUUGCAUUGUUAAUGUCCAAAAGUGAUCUUCAGGUCAAUAAUUUUGGAUUCAUUAUCAAAUUAAUGGACUGCAAAGUCAUUUUUAAUUAAUUCAAUAGAUUGAGACCAAACGGGAUCGAUUGUAGAAGCAAAAAUAAAAUUUGUCUAGACCUAUUUAUUAUUUAAGGUUGGCUGCAGGUGGCAGCGGGCCGAGAAAGAGAAAAAUGGCCCAUAGGACAGACGGGUCAAAGGGCAGGGGCUCAUCAAUGCAACUGCAGGCUGACAUGAUAGGUCCAUUAUUAUAAGCUCGGGUUAAAACAGAAGGGAGCCCAAGUGGGCUUGGUCCAUGAAAAACAUCCUAGCACGUUUUGGCUACUAGUGGGCUGGGGAAAAAACAGAUGUAUAGCCCAGCUUGCAACUCGCGGGCUGUGUUGGAAAGAGCCCAGCAGCCUUGCGCUGCUGGCAUUCGGCUUAGUCACAGUGAAGCCCAACGUGUGGGUUUUGAUUCCGUGCACAGGAAGAAAACCCAAAAAUGAGCUGCUGUGCAGCGGCUCCACGAUUUGUCCUUUUUUUUUUCUUUUUAUGUUUUCCUUUUUUUUAAGGGUUUUUCAGAACCCAAAAAAAUUUAUGCUUAUAUUUUUCUUUCGAUUAUUUGACUCACAAAUUACACAUAGUGAUUUAAUUACGUAAUGCAUGAAACAAAUAUGUAUAUUGACAAAUAUAUGAAACAUAUACAAUAUAUAUAUCGGAAGGAAAAUAUAAACAUAGGGAGGUUCAUGCAUCAUGGGGAAUGUUUUCAUACUUUAAGAUCGUUUCAAAUAUCUUACUUUAUUUUAAGCAUACCUGAUUGGCAGAAAACAAGAAAAACCUUUGAAUUUGUAGAAGAUCCAUCUCGGAAAGCCGGAAUUGCAUCUACAAUGUGUUGUAUCACGCUCAACACAGAAAAAUUAAAUUGAAUCAAUAGCAUGUAGAUCAAUUCAAUAAAAUAAUUAAAUUAAUCACAAAAAGAAUGAUUAAAACGUAAUACUCCCCUGAUUGAAGAUCAAACUCUCUUGUUAGCACAUCAUCAAGAGCAUGCUGAUAACGUGUUGUAGGCAUAAUUUACUGAACAAUUAUAGAGGCUAAAGAGAGAGAGGGAUGCAGCAUAGAUAGAGAGAAAGAGAGAGAGAUGUGUAAUUGUGGGUGUGCGUUAUUCCACCCCAUUGUGCCUUUAUUUAUAGUAGUAGGAAAUGUUAAUUCCUUACCCUUUAGGAUUAUAACCUUUAAUAGGUAAUCUACUCCUAAUAGGAAUAUAAGAUACAUUCUCAUAUCUACUAGGAUUUAUACAAUCACAUUCCUAUUCUAGUAGGACUGCAACAUAUAUUACUUUUUUUAAGGAAAUAACACAAUAUUUAUCUAAUGUGAGAGUUUAAUUUAAAGUGAAUAUGGUGGAGUCUUAAAAUAGAAAACAAAAGAAAGAUGGAAAAUAAAAGUUACAAGGAUAAAUAAACAAUCUUUAAAAAAGAUAAAUGGAUAAAUAAACGACAAAAAAGAAGUUGAGGUCAUGAAGAAAAAAAGAAGGGGAAAUGGGUAAUCAAAUGACAAGAGAGGUGGGUUUAGAAAGAUUAGAAAAAGAAUAAAAUGGUGGGGUCUCUGUACAGUCAGCUUUGAAAACCAAGGUAUACAAAUGCAAAGUCAGCAAAAUUAAUCGACAUCUUUUGCAAACGACGCCGUUUAGGUAAGGGAAACUUCAAGAAGAAGAAGACUUCUUCUUCAGAUUUCGGUGUGCUAGCUGUUCCGUCAAUCCCAACCUUUCUCCUCUAUCUUCGUCAUUCCUCUGCAAAUUCGACCAAGACAGUGCACCAACCAAAACAAAUUUUUACAGGUGCCAUGAAUUCCAACAAGAGCGGAGAGGCUGAACCAACGCUCCUAGGCAUGUUUUCCGGCGAGGCGAGGGGCGGCCACCACUCCUCGCCCUCACAUAGCUUCGUCAUUGCUGUUUGGGAACAGUUGAGGAUUCACAACCAUCUCUGUUUCUCUCUCUCUAGAUUUCUCAAUUUCUUUCUUCUUCUUUCUUUGCCUCCUCCGGUGUACCGCCACAGAGGGAUGGAUCAAUUUAAUCGCAUCGCUUUGGCUUCUUACGGUGCGGGAGUUUACCGAAUCAGACACGUUUUCCAGCACUCACCCACUUUCUGCAACUUUUUUAUUUUUGGUCAAAG
RNAcentral lists this long non-coding RNA (19215 nucleotides) under Malus domestica (apple). Its description in RNAcentral is "long non-coding RNA (MDOM_LNC011912)". Lineage: Eukaryota; Viridiplantae; Streptophyta; Magnoliopsida; Rosales; Rosaceae. The record is from RNAcentral.